UGGACAGGUUGGGUGAGUGGGCAGAUGCAGUUUAAUGUGGAUAAAUAUGAGAUUAUACACUUUGAUGGCGAAAACAGGACGUUAGAUUAUUAUCUAAACGGUGUCAAAUUGGGAAAAGGGGA
Molecule: long non-coding RNA, 122 nt
Organism: Amblyraja radiata (thorny skate)
Lineage: Eukaryota; Metazoa; Chordata; Chondrichthyes; Rajiformes; Rajidae
Exons: 3
Source: RefSeq, a predicted model, not a curated record